CGCACGACGUUCCCUUUUUGCGCAUGCGCCGGCUACUUCCUAUAUAAGUCGGUGAACGAAGGCAGCACGGUCUCUGGCAGCGGUGCGGGCAACGUGGAAGCAGAGUGUCUGGAAAUGGGGCACAGGCUGCUGUGGAUACGUCACCUCAUCCAAAUGUCAAAAGGAGGAGGGGUGAAAUCGAAAUUCAUGAUCAUGAGAAGGCUUGUCUGGCGCUGAUGGGUUUCACAGUAAAACUUGGGUUUAUGCUCCAUUUAGAGAAAUCAUUGGGCGCCUGUGACUGACGGAACAAAGCAAUGCAUAUGGAAGUCCCAUGAUUCUCGGCUGAACACUGCAGUCCAGUCAGGCUACACAUGUCUAUGCGUGUAAGUAACCGCAAUACCUGAAGACUUUGAGUUAUGCCUUGGGAACAAUUCAAAAUGGGCUGUACUACUUGGUCUCAAGGCAAGACAGAUCAGCCCAUGAAUCAUGAACGUUGCUACACAUAGAAAAAUGUCUGGAGUUUUCUCAAUAAAAAAUUAUAUUGAACUAUAA
Long non-coding RNA from Xenopus laevis (African clawed frog), 531 nucleotides. RefSeq lists it as uncharacterized. The record is from RefSeq and is a predicted model, not a curated record. NCBI's taxonomy places the organism in Eukaryota, Metazoa, Chordata, Amphibia, Anura, Pipidae. The transcript has 5 exons.